AAUAUUACUCUUUUUUGUUCGUACAAACACAUGAAUAUUACUAAUCGGUGAAAAGCAAAAUGCAAUGAUUCGACUAGUCGGUGAAACUCAUUAUAUCCUGAUCAUUUAUGAUUGGAAUCGUAAGAAACAUUGCAAAAACAAUCAGAUUAUUGUUACUGAAAAAAGAGAGAAGCAUACUAUGAUCAUACUCGUUUUCUUGUCUGCAACAUGUUUGCAGGCUGUCUAAACCUCACUUAAGAUGUUUCGAUUGAUAACCACGUUGUCUCCGCUUCGAUUUACCGCUUGUUUUCGCCUCGUUCUUCACUUCCUUGCAUGAACCAUGCUUGUGAUGAGCAUUGCCAUGACUCCCUUUACAUUCACCGUCCUCGUGUUUAUACCGAUGCUUACUAGGACUGGAC
This 398-nucleotide long non-coding RNA is filed under the name Gossypium barbadense (sea-island cotton). RNAcentral describes it as "long non-coding RNA (GBAR_LNC006012)". The record is from RNAcentral. Lineage: Eukaryota; Viridiplantae; Streptophyta; Magnoliopsida; Malvales; Malvaceae.